Long non-coding RNA from Pygocentrus nattereri (red-bellied piranha), 798 nucleotides. RefSeq lists it as uncharacterized. The record is from RefSeq and is a predicted model, not a curated record. NCBI's taxonomy places the organism in Eukaryota, Metazoa, Chordata, Actinopteri, Characiformes, Serrasalmidae. The transcript has 3 exons.
AUUCAUUGACUACUAAAAACAAUUCAGAAGUUACUAUGAAAUAUUCUGUAACUAGUUUGAAACUAAGGUAUCUAAGAUAAGUUCUGUAGUGAUGAGAGUGAGAAAUUAAAGUGUCACAUACAGACCAAUAUAGUUUAAGAGAUACAGUUUUGCUUGAGGUCAUGUGAAGAUUUGAACUCCAUACAGAAACCAAUAAUAUGGGUGUAGUUACAACUUCCUGCGACUUCCUGUGAGCUGUGAAAGUGACUCACCAGUGGUUUCUCCUCCCUCUUUUCCUUCUUCACUGUAGGCGUGUAAUAACUUUCACAUGAUCUCACAGCCUUAAAGGAGCCACGUCCAAUUUUCUAUCAUUUUAUUUUAUCAGUACUGUGCAUCAGUCCAAGAGAUGUUUGGCUCAGAUAAAAGCCUCAGAGUCAGAUGGUAUUCUCCUCUUUACAGUUCAGUUCAGAUCAUAGAUCAUCACCUCCUGGAGCUGAAGCUGCAGCCAUGAUCGUCCGUCCUCGUUCUCUCCUCCUGGGUCUGCUGGUCAUCCUCUACCUUCAGUCCUGUGCAUUGGGAAACAGUCUACCUGAACCAUGCAAAUGCUGUUUGAGUUGCUAUUCCAGACCAAUCCCUAUCAGUGCCGUUAUGAAGUGUGAAGAAAUGGGACCUGACUGUCCAAGAGUGAUUUUUACCAUCAAGAAGAAGAAGCAGGUGUGUGUGGACCCCGGUGUCAAGUGGGUGCAGCGGAUCAUGAAGAAAAUGGGUUGUGAAACUGUUAAGACCUGAUAUUAAAGAUGUUUGAAAUUUCUCCCUAAA